RNAcentral lists this ribosomal RNA (400 nucleotides) under uncultured bacterium. RNAcentral describes it as "bacterial SSU rRNA". It matches the Rfam family "Bacterial small subunit ribosomal RNA", at positions 356 to 773 of the family's 1533-position model. The record is from RNAcentral.
GGGGAAUAUUGCACAAUGGAGGAAACUCUGAUGCAGCAACGCCGCGUGAGUGAUGAAGGUCUUCGGAUUGUAAAACUCUGUCUUAUGGGACGAUAAUGACGGUACCAUAGGAGGAAGCCACGACUAACUACGUGCCAGCAGCCGCGGUAAUACGUAGGUGGCAAGCGUUGUCCGGAUUUACUGGGCGUAAAGGAUGUGUAGGCGGAUAUUUAAGUGAGAUGUGAAAUCCCCGGGCUUAACUUGGGGGCUGCAUUUCAAACUGGAUGUCUAGAGUGCAGGAGAGGAAAGCAGAAUUCCUAGUGUAGCGGUGAAAUGCGUAGAGAUUAGGAAGAACACCAGUGGCGAAGGCGGUUCUCUGGACUGUAACUGACGCUGAGGCAUGAAAGCGUGGGGAGCAAAC